GGGCGGCCGCCGCGGCCCAUUGGCCGGCCGCGGAGUGUCGGUGAAGUCAGCGCCGAGUCCCAGAAAAACAGAGCGGGGCCAACUGCAGCGUGUAGUGCGAGUGGGGCAGGACGCGCGCCACCCGCCUGCCCGGAGACCCGCAAGGGGCUGGCAUUUGUUGGAAGACUUUGUGAAACCUUCUCUCUGCCCAGAGCUCAGGACCAAUGCAUCCCACCACCUUAAACCACUGAGCAGUUCGGAGCCCCCGUAGCGGAAGACUUGUCCUGUUACCAUCAUGAGCUCUG
Molecule: non-coding RNA, 284 nt
Organism: Leptonychotes weddellii (Weddell seal)
Lineage: Eukaryota; Metazoa; Chordata; Mammalia; Carnivora; Phocidae
Source: RefSeq, a predicted model, not a curated record